RNAcentral lists this long non-coding RNA (7581 nucleotides) under Sus scrofa (pig). RNAcentral describes it as "lncRNA (ENSSSCG00000058762.1)". Lineage: Eukaryota; Metazoa; Chordata; Mammalia; Artiodactyla; Suidae. The record is from RNAcentral.
GCUCUGAUUAAGGCCCAUAAUUCUGCUCUCUAUGCUGACCAGCCUUGAGGAAGCACGUCUGCUUCUAUCACUUUUAAGUCAGAUACCACAGCAUAUCCUGCCAUCCUUUUUCCAUCCUCCAUAAAGCUGCUGCCAUCAGUAUAUAAAACCAGGUCAGGAUUUUGGAGUGGUUUAUCAGUCAAGUCAGUGCUGCUGGAAAACACCUCAUCUGGUACCUCCAGGCAGUUACGGUCUGGGGGCCCCGCUUCAUCUGGCGGAAAAGUAGCUGGGUUCAGAGUUUGUACAACCUCCACUUUUACCCGUGGAUUUUCACAUAGUAACCCUUGAUAUUGAGUCAUUCGUGCAUGUGUGAGCCAAUGGUGGCCCCUGGUAUCCAUUAGGGUUACAACUGAGUGUGGGACUUUAACAUUGAGGUUUUGUCCCAGGGUCAACUUGUCAGCCUCUCUCACCAACAAGGUGGUAGCUGCCAGUGCUUGGAGGCAAGGAGGCCAUCUGGCAGCAACUGAGUCAAUUUGUUUAGACAGAUAGGCCACUGGCCUCUGCCAUGGCCCAAAUUCUUGAGUUAAGACUCCCAAAGCCAUCCCAUUUUUCUCAUGAACAAAAAGGUUAAAUUCUCUGGUUACAUCAGGAAGUCCCAAGGCUGGAGCCUCAGUGAGUUUGGUUUUGAUUGUCUGAAACGCUGUCUCCUGGCUUGGUCCCCAUUUAAGGGGAGCCUUUUCUUCCCCUUUUAGAGCCUCAUACUGAGGCCUGGCCAGGUCUGAAAACCCGGGCAUCCAUAUCCGGCAGAAUCCUGCUGCCCCUAGGAACUCAGGAACCUUCCAGCGGAUGGUAGGGACAGGAAUGGCACAAACUGCCUGCUUUCUUUCAGUCCCCAGCAUUCGUCGGCCCUGCGUGAUGUUGAAGCCCAGAUACUUGACUUGUUUUUUGCAGAUUUGUGCCUUUUUCUUGGAUACCCGAUACCCUGCCUCCAUCAGUAGGGAAAGGAGAGCUCUUGUUCCCUCUAGGCACUGAGCCUCCGUGGUGCCAGCUAGUAAGAGGUCGUCAACAUACUGUAGCAAAACACAGCCCAGUUUUUGUCCAGGAAAUUCAGCCAGGUCAGCAGCUAAGGCGCCGCUAAAAAGAGUGGGAGAGUGGGAGUCUAGUCCAGGUGAGCUGUUCCUUUGUCCCUGUAUGUGGAUUCUCCCAUUCAAAAGCAAACAAGGGCUGACUAGCAGGUGCCACCCAGAGGCAGAAAAAGGCGUCUUUUAAGUCCAGGCAAGUAAACCACUCAGCAGUGGAGGGGAUCAGCCCUAGCAGGGUACACGGGUUAGGGACGGAUGGUGUAAUGUGACCGUUGCUUUAUUUAUGGCUCUCAAGUCCUGUACUGGGCGGUAGUCCUGUGUUCCCGGUUUUUUCACGGGCAGUAAAGGGGUGUUCCAAGGGGACUGACAUUUUAUUAACAGUCCGUGCUGAAGCAGCCUAUCCAGGUGAACCUGGAUUCCCAGUCGAGCUUCUCUGGGAAUUGAGUAUUGCCAUAGCUUUACCGGUUGAGCUCCGGGUUUUAGAUCAAUCAAGACAGGAGUGUGGCGUUUUGCCAGUCCUGGUGGGUUUCCUUCAGCCCAAACCAAUGGGUAUUUAAUCUCUAGUUCUGGAGGAAUGGUCCCCAUUUCUGAAGGGGAAGAGUGCAAGCGCCAUUCCUCUUCUCUUUUUACAGCAAGAGCCAUGAUUAAAGGAGAGGGGGGUUCUGUCAAUUUAAGUUGGGCCAAUCCAUCAGUAGAAAAGGAAAUUGGUGCCCCCAUUUUAGCCAGCAGGUCUCUUCCAUCAGGGGACUGGGCAGUCAGUUAGGUAAAGAAAUUCAUGUAUUACUUCAUGGCCUCCUAACCGACAUCGUCGAGGACCGCAGAGGGGCCUGUGGGUUUGGUUACCUGUGGCCCCAACAAUGGUGGUUUCUUUCCCUGAGAGGGGAGCCACAGGUUGUGUAACCACAGAAAGUUCGGCACCUGUGUCAACCAUAAAGUCCAUGGGGUGGCCCCCUACUUGAAUUCUGACCAUAGGCUCUCGGGGGCCCAGUUGGAGAGAGCCUGGUCCCCCCAAUCAGACUCAGCUAGGCCGAUCAUGUUGGUGCUGAGUGGCUCAGAUCGGUACCGGCUAGGUGGUGCCUUGGUCUUUUUCUCAGGAUGGUUGGGGCAUUCAUUUUUCCAAUGUCCCUUUUCUUUGCAGUAAGCACAUUGGUCAUGUUCCAGGGGACUCCUUUUCCCUGGCCUUGUGCCUUGUCCCCUACGGGGUGGCCCCACUGGGGGCACCGGUUUUGACAGGGCGGCCGCCAGAAGAGUCACUUUUUGUUUCAUUCUCUUUUCUGCAUCAUGGCGGGCCACCUGGUCUCGGUUAAUAAAACCUUGUUGGCUAUUUCCAACAGUUUAGUGGCAUUCUCUCCUGCAAAGCCUUCUAAUUUCUGUAGCUUUUUACGGAUAUCUGAUUGGGCUUGUCCCACAAAGGCAGCAUUUAUCAUCCGUUGGUUCUCAGGAGCCUAGGGAUCAAAAGGGGUGUAGGUUCGGAAAGCCUCACAUAGUGUCUCAUAGAAUUUGGCUGGGCUUUCAUUCGGCUCUUGUAGUAUCUCACUGAUCUUAGCUAUGUUAGUAGGCCUUUUAGCCCCAGCUUUUGCCCCCUGUAGGAAGGCCUGCCAGUACCUCUCUAGGUUACGUUUCCCUUCUUCAGUGUCAUAGUCCCAGUGGGGGUUUUCUUCUGGGAAGGCUUCCCUCACCCAGUUUGCCAAGUCUGCUCGACCCCCUGCAUUGGCCUGAAGCCAUUUUUGGGCUUCUGUUACAAUUCGCCAGCGCUCUUCAGUGUCAAAUAGAGUAAAAAGGAGUUGCCGGCAGUCUAUCCAGGUGGGACAGUGUGUCUGGAAAAUGAAUUCUAAGAGGUCAAUCAGCGCCUGAGGCUUUUCAGAAUAUGAGGGAGUAUGGUGUUUCCAGUUGAGGAGAUCGGCAGUGGAAAAGGGCUGGUAAUAAUAAAAACGUCCCCCCUCUUGUAUGGUCCCAUCGGGGGCGACUUGCUGUGGUCCCCGUGUCUCCCGUAAGGGCAUUUGUAAUGCUGGAGUGGCUGCUCCCUGAGCUGAACAGAGACGCCUGCUCAUAGGUUCUGGAGAAUCUGGCUGCGGGGGUGAUAUUGCCUCGGGAACUUCAGAAGCAGAAGAAGGAGGAGAAACAGAAGGCGGUAGGCUAUCUGGCAUCUGGGUACCUUCGGCUCCUGGAGGUGGGGCCGGCAGCACAUAAGGUGGUGGCAUAGGGGGCGAGUCCUCAGGUUCCCCUUGAUAAAUAGGUGGCACUUUCUUUUGAGGCAAGGUUUUCUUCUUGGACUGGGCUACUAGCACCCUACGGUCCUGGUCAGUGGUGCAGAACCGAACCUUGGGGGCCUCAAAUAGACAAUUUCCAACCAUUGAUCAAUAUACGGAAAUGGGUCUGGGUGUCCAGGGUCUCCUGUUAUACUGCUGCAACUGUGAACACAUCUAAGGUCCCUUCUGGAGGCCAGCCAGCACCAAAGGAGGGCCAGUCUAGGGUACAGAGGGUACACAGUUUUCCAGGACUCAGCUUAACACCAUAAUCUCUAGAAAAUCCUUUCUUAAAAUUCUUAACCAUAUACUCUAAGACAGUAGGCCUGGAAGCCGAUUUACUCAUUGUGUGAAGUCCCACCCUGUGCCUGCGACACAUGACAAAGAGUGAGGGCAAGGCCUCAGGUAACAAUCGCUUCGUCUGCCUGACCGCUCCCCCGGAGGAGAUAUUUCAGGCGCCUCUUAGCAUAGGUGGGACUGUAUAAACCCCAACGUCAGGAUCCCCCCGAAGAGGGCCACCAGAAGCCGUAUGAGGGUCGCCGUGGAACUGCAGGUUAGGACUCACUCUGGCUCCAUAGUCCAAAGACGGUGGAGCACGGGCUCUCGUUCUCUCCAGUCACUCACACACACACACGCACACCAGAAUUGACAAGCCUCCUGAUCCCAAGGGAGCAAACCCUGACCCAAGUGACCCUUUGGUCACUGAGAGGUAAUCAGUCUCUCCUUCUGCCGUAUGGCGGGUCCUGACUUGGGCAGAUGUCCCCGGGGCACUCACCAGUCCGACGUCCUGUCCUGGAACCUAUUUCCAUUCUCCUUCUGAGUCCGUUCGGGAAGCGGUGUGGGCCAAGGCCACGGCCCGAGUGAGGGUCUGGAUCCGGCAAAAUGGCCGGUGCGCGCUAUCCACCUGUCACCGGGCCGGCGACCGUGGCCUCCCCCGGUUCCCCGACAACGAUGGCACAAGAGGCCAGCUCGGUUGUCGGCUUCCCGGCCAAUGCACCAAAAUGUUGCGGAAACCGCAAAAACUGUGGCAACAGAAGGAGACAAACAGCACUCGGAGAUAUGGAAAAGCAAGGUUUAUUCAGCACCAGUGCAGGCUCAGAGGAGUCCCCUCCAGAGUCUGAGCACCAGGUCUUUGUUCUCAGUCACUUUUAUACACUACAGGGUCUUGAUUUUCCCAUGUAAGCAUCCUGGACCUCCCCCAUCCCCAAGCAGACAGUGUUCCUCCCUAAGAAACUGAGCAAGCAAGGUUACAGAAGCAGAACUGAUAAGCAAUGCUGGGUACAUGAUUAGCAGGGCUGCUGGCUUGGACAGAGAGCACACAGUUGUUACAUUAUUACAAGAAGGGUGGCAUAGUGAUGAGCACAGCUGGAAAGGCUUGCAGCUGCCUUCUUAGCCAAGGGGGGGUUGUUCUUUAGUUAAAACUCCAUUUCACUUCUGCCUCCUGUAUUCUGCUGUUAGCUUCUUCUAGGGAAUUUUUUAUUUCAGUUACUGUAUUUUGCAUCUCUUCUUGUUGAAGUUUUAUAUCUUGUAUGUCUUUGGUCAGUGUUUCCUGUAAGUUAUCCAUCUUUACCUCCAAUUUAUUUCCAAUGUCUUGCAUCAUCUUCAGCAUCAACAGUCUAAAGUCUUUUUUCUGAAAGCUGAGAAUCUCCUCAUCUCUUAGCUGAUUUUCUGGGGUUUUUCCUUUCUCCCUCAUCUGAGUUAUCAUUCUCUGUCUUUUUGUUUUUAUAGGUUUUUGGUGUGGUGACCUUUUUACAGAUAAUAGAGUUGUAGCCUCUCUUCCUUCUGAUGUCUGCCCCCCUGUGGCUGAAGUCGGUAUGGGGGGCUUGCUGUAGGCUUCCUGGUGGGAGGGCCUGAUGCCUGCCCACUGGUAGGUGGAGCCGAUUCUAACCCCUCUGGUGAGUGGGGCUUAGUCUCUGGAUGGGAUUAGAGGCAGCUGUGUGCCUGAGGGGUCUUUAGGUAGCCAGUUUGCUGAGGGGCGGGGCUGUGAUCCCACCUGGGUUGUUUGCCCUGGGGCUUCUCAGCAGCUGACUGAGGGGUGGGGCCAGAUUUUCCCUAAAUGGCCACCUCCAGAGAAUAUUCCCAAGAGCUUUGCUUUCAAUGUCCAUCCCCUACAACAAGCCAUGUUCACCCCUGUUUUCCCAGGAUGUCCUCCAAGAACUGCAGUCAGGUUUGACCCAGAUUCCCAUGGAGAUUUUGCUUUGCCCUGGGACCCAGUGCACGUGAAAGUCUGUGUGCACCUUUUAAGAAUGGGGUCUCCGUUUCCCCCAGUCCUGUGGAGCUCCUGCGCGCAAGUCCCACUGGCCUUCAAUGCCAGAUGCUCCAGAGCUCUUUCUCCCAGUGCCAGAUCCCUGAACGUGAGGGUUUGAUGUGGGGCUCAGAACUCUCACUCCUGUAGGUGAGUCUCUGUGAACCAGUUAGUUUUCAGUCUGUGGAGCUUCCUACCCAGGAGGUAUGGGGUUGUUUAUAUCACAAAAUCGCCCCUCCUACCUCUUGAUGCGUCCUCCUCUUUUUCUUCUGGAGUAGGGUAUCUUUUUUAAGGUUUCCAGUCCAUGUGGGUGAAGAGUGCUCAGCCUUUAGUUGUGAAUUUUGUUGUUUUUAGGAGAGAAGUUGAGUUCCAGUCCUUCUAUUCCACCAUCUUAAUCCCCUCUCCCCCAAACUAGUGUACACUUAAACUCACACUUAAACUAAUACCAGGACAUUUUUCUAAAACUGAAUUUAGCUUGCUGCUUCAAAGAAAACAACUUUGUUAUCAAUGAUGAAAUUUGACCUUUAAAGAGAAAAUUAGCAUUUAGGAAAAGCUGCCUAUCACUGUUGAGUCUGAUAAUUUCCUGAUAUUUAGACUUUUAAUUAAUUUAUUUAUUUUUUGGCUGCACCUCUGACAUAUAGAAGUUCCCAGGACAAGGACAAAAUCCGAGCUGCAGCUGUGACCUAUGCCACAGCUGUGGCAAUACUGAAUCCUUAAGCUACUGCCCCACAGUGGGUACUCCUUUGGCUUUUUAAGUAAAUGAGAUCAGCAGUAUGUAAUCACUACUGUGUUUUUUUUGUUUUUGUUUUUUUUUCUUUUAAGGCCACUCCUGUGGCAUAUAGAGGUUCCCAGGCUAGGGGUUGAACUGGAGCUACAGCUGCUGGCCUGCACCACAGCCUCAGCAACACCAGAUCUGCACCGUAUCUGCAACCUAUACCACAGCUCAUGGCAAUGCUGGGAUCCUUUGACCCACUGAGUGAGGACUGAGUGAGGUCAGGGAUCGAACUUGUGUCCUCAUGGAUGCUAGUCAUGUUCAUUACCACUGAGCCACAACAGGAAUGCUACAUGUAUCUUUUUUUUGCUAUUUCUUGGGCCACUCCCGUGGCAUAUGGAGGUUCCCAGGCUAGGGGUCGAAUCGGGAGCUGUAGCUGCCAGCCUACACCAGAGCCACAGCAACACUGGAUCCGAGCCGUGUCUGCAACCUACAUCACAGCUCACGGCCACGCCAGAUCCUUAACCCACUGAGCAAGGGCAGGGAUCAAACCUGCAACCUCAUGGUUCCUAGUCGGAUUCGUUAACCACUGCACCACGACGGGAACUCCCAUGUAUCUUUUUGAAUGAAACUUGUCUGGAUAUCUGCCCAGGAGUGAGAUUGCUGGAUCAUGUCGUAGUUCUAUGUUGAGUUUUCUGAGGAACUUCGAUACUAUGUUCCACCCUUUAACAUUUCUUUUAGGGUAGGUUUACUAUUGAUAAUUUUUUUUUUUUUGUUUUUUGUUUUCUUUUCUGAGAAGUUCUUCAUUUCUCCAAAUCUACAUGAUAAUCUUUCUAGGUAGAGUAUCCUAGGAUGAAGUUCUUUCCCUUUUAGUAUUGUGAAUAUAUCAUUCCACUUUCUUCUGGCCUGCAAAGUUUCUGCAGAAAACUCAGCAGAUAGCUUAUUGAGAUUCCCUUAUAUGUGACUCUGCUUUUCUCUUGCUGCAUUUAGAAUUCUCUCUUUAAGUUUUGCCACCUUAUUUAUGAUAUGUCUUGAUGUGGGUCUGUUUAAGUUUAUCCUUUUUGGAACCUUCUAUGCUUCCUGUACCUGGAUAUCUGUUUCCUUCUUCAGGUUUGGGAAUUUUUCAGCAGUAAUUCAUCAAAUACAUUUAAGAGCCCCUUCUCUCUCUUCUCCUUCUAGAACCCCUAUAAUGCAAAUUUUGGUACACUGCAUUUUUCAAAAAGUGGUAAAGAUAUUGAUUUAUAUUAGAUAGUUGAUAAACCAACAGAGACCCACUACAAUGAGGUAAUAGAGGAGGAAAAUGGGACAUUUUUUAAU